CCAACUUCAGAUCAACCCAGAAAUGUUUAGAAAUGGAGCAAUAACAAUAGACCACUUCAUUACAUGAUUGAAAAAUCCCAAUGACCCCUAAUGAACCCAAUGUUAGACAAAAACUAUUCGAAACCACUCAAAGUAACUAAAAACUGGACUAGAACCAUUUUUUAAAUUACCAAAUGGUAGACACAGCCUAAAACAGUCCUGCUUGAACCCCGAAUUCCCUCAGAAUCAAUAGACAAUACCCCCCAAAACGUUGAAUGAUCAGAAACCAAACUAAAAUGUAGGGCAAUAACUUGAAGAUAAAAUUCACACAGAAUUCCAAUCAAACAAUAUCUUUUCUUUGGUUAUCUGCAGUUUUGGAUUAUUUUUUGUUUAUUUUCUGUUGAAGAAUGCUAAGAUCUAAGGGGAUUUCAGAUCUGAAUUUCAGAUCUG
RNAcentral lists this long non-coding RNA (429 nucleotides) under Nicotiana benthamiana. RNAcentral's name for it is "long non-coding RNA (NBEN_LNC028304)". Lineage: Eukaryota; Viridiplantae; Streptophyta; Magnoliopsida; Solanales; Solanaceae. The record is from RNAcentral.